RNAcentral lists this microRNA precursor (76 nucleotides) under Myotis davidii. Its description in RNAcentral is "mir-9229 microRNA precursor family". It matches the Rfam family "mir-9229 microRNA precursor family". The record is from Rfam by way of RNAcentral. Lineage: Eukaryota; Metazoa; Chordata; Mammalia; Chiroptera; Vespertilionidae.
GAGAUACCCUUAUGGGGCAGGACUUGCUUCAGUGGGGCUUUGGUGCUCACUGAGUCUGCUCCUUGAGUGUGUCACU